RNAcentral lists this ribosomal RNA (510 nucleotides) under uncultured bacterium. RNAcentral describes it as "partial 16S ribosomal RNA". It matches the Rfam family "Bacterial small subunit ribosomal RNA", at positions 28 to 507 of the family's 1533-position model. The record is from RNAcentral.
GACGAACGCUGGCGGCGUGCUUAACACAUGCAAGUCGAACGAAGAGCGACGGAAGCUUGCUUCUAUCAAUCUUAGUGGCGAACGGGUGAGUAACGCGUAAUCAACCCGCCCUUCAGAGGGGGACAACAGUUGGAAACGACUGCUAAUACCGCAUACGAUCUAACCUCGGCAUCGAGGAUAGAUGAAAGGUGGCCUCUACAUGUAAGCUAUCACUGAAGGAGGGGAUUGCGUCUGAUUAGCUAGUUGGAGGGGUAACGGCCCACCAAGGCGAUGAUCAGUAGCCGGUCUGAGAGGAUGAACGGCCACAUUGGGACUGAGACACGGCCCAGACUCCUACGGGAGGCAGCAGUGGGGAAUCUUCCGCAAUGGACGAAAGUCUGACGGAGCAACGCCGCGUGAGUGAUGACGGCCUUCGGGUUGUAAAGCUCUGUUAAUCGGGACGAAAGGCCUUCUUGCGAAUAGUGAGAAGGAUUGACGGUACCGGAAGAGAAAGCCACGGCUAACUACGUG